RNAcentral lists this ribosomal RNA (254 nucleotides) under uncultured bacterium. RNAcentral describes it as "partial 16S ribosomal RNA". It matches the Rfam family "Bacterial small subunit ribosomal RNA", at positions 79 to 334 of the family's 1533-position model. The record is from RNAcentral.
CCCAAAAGACUGGCGACCAGCGCACGGGUGAGUAACACGUAUCCAACCUGCCUCAUACUCGGGGAUAGCCUUUCGAAAGAAAGAUUAAUAUCCGAUAGCAUAUAUUUCCCGCAUGGGUUUUAUAUUAAAGAAAUUCGGUAUGAGAUGGGGAUGCGUUCCAUUAGUUUGUUGGGGGGGUAACGGCCCACCAAGACUACGAUGGAUAGGGGUUCUGAGAGGAAGGUCCCCCACAUUGGAACUGAGACACGGUCCAA